Molecule: non-coding RNA, 3699 nt
Organism: Cyanistes caeruleus (blue tit)
Lineage: Eukaryota; Metazoa; Chordata; Aves; Passeriformes; Paridae
Source: RefSeq, a predicted model, not a curated record
GCAGCCCCAGCACCGUGCUUGUCACCCAGACAAGAGAUCAAUAACUAAUUUCACUGCAGCAGCAGCGCCGGGUUUUUUCCAAUAAUUGUGAGCCGGCGGUGGGGAAUGAGGCUCUCAGCACCGCUCCACACCAGCCUGCACCCGAUCAAUCGCCACACCGCUGGGGCAGCAGGAAAACUCAUUUUUUUCCUUUUCUUCCCUCUCCUUCCUUCUUCCUUAUCCCACUCCAUUCCCUCCUCCUCCUGCUGUGGCGCUGCCUGAGCUGAGGGCUGUGUCCCCACGCCAGGUGGGAUGUGAGCUGGCCCCAUGGUGGGGUGGUGGGGACAAUGGCUGAGCCUCCUGUGCUGCCCCAACAGCUCAGAGCACUUUGGCUCCUGUCACCCACGGGCCAGAUCUGGCUCCUUGUGCAGAGCACCAGUCCCAGCAGCUUGGGUGAAGGUGCCAAAGCUGAGAUUUCUCCUCUCCUUGUGGCAUAAGAGGCUCCCAAGGAUACCUUGGCUACUGCAUUGUGACUUUUGGUGGUCUGUUGGUGCCUUUGUGUGGUCCAAACGUGACUCUUACAUUUUAUGGCCUUUUUUCCCUGGGUUUUCAUUCCCUGAGCGAUUGGCCUGCUCCAGGUCAAGGAUCCUACUGAGUUUCUCCUGUAACUAUUCUUUAUCCCUUCUGCUUCUGCAACCCUGCAGUGCCUCAGUUUCCCUCUUUGUAUCUAUAAUAGAGGGGGCUGAGAACAUCCCUUCCUACUCCUUCCCAUACCAUUAGGAGCCACCAUGAGCUCCAUGUCCAAGGCAGAAGGUGUUGCUGGUACUCACAGGGAACUGCUUGGUUUUGGGGUCCCCAGGACCAUGGAGUCCCACGAUCUCUGUACCUGUGGGGUGGGAGAGAGGGGUGCUGCGUGCUCAGUAUCUCCCUGGGGUUGGGAGAUGCUCCAAGGUGGCGUUUGGAGGCACCCUUGGAUCUCUUCAGCAUCUCCAGUGGGUUGUGUAUGAGGUGUUUGGGUGGGGCAGGGAGGAAGGCUCAGCUGUGGGUUUGCCACUGCAGCACCUUCCGAGCCCUGUACACCCCAUGAAGGUGGCAGCAGUGCAGUCCCUUGUUCUUUUCCCUUAUUUAAGAGCCCUCUCACUGGUUCCCCAGGAGCAUCCCCAUGAAUUAAAGACUGCCUUUGCUGUGGAGCACUGAGAGCUGCCUGCAUAAUUUCAGAGUUUUAUGACUUGCCUUGAAGGCUCCUAUUGAUUGGGGUCUUCUCCGGCUGAUGGAGCUUUUAGUAUGGCCUGGACUGGGCAAGCAAGGCUGGAAUCUCAGCCUGUCCAGCUUAUCUAAAUCAUGGCUUAAAACCUCUGUGGCCUGAGCACCAGGACACUGCUGCUCCUGGGAGAGUCUCCACGUGCACAUCCUCACCAGAGUUGUUUGCACUUUGAGGUGCUUUUUGGCUCACUCAGUCUCAGCCCAAGAGCUGAGACUCCCCAUGGGGCCAUACCACAUCCCACAUGGGGUUUAACCUGGGGAAUUAUUUUCCCAGGUGAGUUGGAGUGAGGGAAUUUUGAGGGGUUUCUGUCCUGCUGAGGCCUCAGGCACUGCUCACUGCUCACUGGGGCAGAGGGAUGCUCAUGGGAUUUGGAGUUUCUGUGCAACACCCACUGCUGGGUGCAAGCAACAGCUUCCCCAUGAGUCACACUGUGCUGGCACAGACACACACGUGGCCAGCAAGGAAACCAGGAGCAUCUCUCCGAGGCUGUCAUGUGCCCUGUGGCUUGGCUUUGGAGAGCAGCUGGUGUCACCUUCACUUUCAAGCUCUCCCUGCUGCUUCUGGAGGCUGUGUGGCUUCAAGGGCCACGGCACAGCCAGGGAGGGCCAUGGACCCCCCUUUGUGCUGAGAGGUGGGUGCACCUCCCAGCCCAAGCUCCUCCCAUGCCAGCGCUGUCUCUGAGUACCACAUGCAACUGGGGGCUUUGCCCACUCCAGCCCAUGCACAGAGCUGGGACUGGUGGCCAGGAACUCCCUUCCCAGUGGCUGUUUGACCUCAGAGAAUGCGCAGGAGAUAGUGCAGCUCCCUGAGUCCUGUGAUCACUGCUGAGUCUCUGCCUUCAUUUUGGACCAGGAGGACCUUUGGAGCCACCCUCACCAGAGACCACAGUGGACAAAAACAAGUAUUUAAGUCAAGGAAGUUAAUACAAAUUAAUUAAAAGCUCACAACAUUUUUUUUUUUUUUUUUUUUUAAUUUUUGGUAUUGAAAUGGUCCUGUCCCAAGGCCAUGCAGGGAGCCCCUGGCUGAACCCACUGUGAGGUCUGGGGGCACAGGCACAGGAGCUAAAGCAGACCCGACCCAGGCUGAGCUGUAGCUCCAAAGCUGCUCAUUUUGGGGUUGGUUCAGCAAUGCCCAAGUUUAAUUUUCAUCAGCAAAAUUAAUCUGUGGAGUUAUUUUCCCUUCAUCCCCCUCCCCUUCCUCUCCUACCCGCUUUAUUCAAAGAAUUUGAUCAUUUCUCCCAGGAGCUCGGCACCAUUAACAUUCACUCCCAACGCGUGUGAGCUGUGCUGCAUCCCCAAGUGCUGCUCCUGCUGCCAGCCCUGGUACUCAACCAUGCUCAGGGGAAACCUGGCCAUCAGCUUCUCCUUCCAACAGCCUGGGCUGGGAGAGCCCCUCCACGCCCUGAAUCCACACCUGGCACCCCACAGAUCCACACCUGGCUGCCACAGCACAGCAAAGGAGGAUGGCAUCCUGAGCUCCAGCUUCUCCAGCAAAUUAAAGCCAAGGGGCUCUGGAAAGAACACCCAAGGCAGAGGAAUCACCAAGAGUUACAAGGCCAGGCUGCCUUCCCCAGCACUAGCACUGAGGCACCAUGGUUGGCACAGCCUUGUCCAUUCAGCACCGUGCCUUGGCUCUGAAUGCUCCAUAGGUGCCCCAGAAGCAGCACUAACCCACAUGUGCAGCCACUUGCUUUGUAUCUGGAGGGAUGCUGAUGGGUAGUACCAGUCCCAGGCAGGAAAAAGGGACUCUUGCAGCAUCUGCUGCCUGCUGGAUGCUGUUGAAGGCAGCAGUGGCAGCACCUACCUGUGUGCAGGCACUGAGCUCACCUGUGCCCACCACGAUGAACCAUUUCCUUCCUGAACACCCGGAUGUCCUGCCUGGGAAAUUAAAUCAGCUCUGAAUGGGAAGUGCAACCAAGCUGGCCCAACCCAGGAAGAAAAAGGGCAGCAAAAGAAAAACAAAUUCAGAAACUGGAAAAAAAAAAGUUAAAUGCUGUGUGUGCUGCUGUCCCUGUCACUGCCCCCACACCCAUAGCCAUGGUCGGGAAGGCUGGCUUGUCCCACCAAGGUGCUGCAGGAAGGGGUGGUUUUUCCUUUAGCAGGAUUCCUGUUCCAACACAGUCCUUUUCUUCCAUUUCUGGCUCUGGAGAAGGGAGCAGCUGGGUGCUGAGCCUGCCACAGCCCAGCCGUGCUGCCGGGCGAGGGCAAAGAGGCGUUAGCUGAGAAAGGGAGCCGAGCGCUUUAUUUUUAGUCUUGGUUUAACAAGUAUUAAUUAAUAAGAGUGCAAAUGCUAAUGCCGAGAAGACACAAACUGCGUUGCCUGAAAUGAAUGUUUGGGGCUUGUCUGUGCCAGGAUUUACAGCCGGGUGGGUUCACAGGGGCGAAUCAUUGCUCAAACUGCAAGGAUAAGCUGAGCCGGCUUCUUCCCACCGGGAGCGGCAUCGGCCGUGCCGCAAU